AGUAGCAUUUGUGGCGACCGUGGCAGUGGCUGUGACUGGAAGCUUCUGGAAAUGGCGGCGAUGAGGACCCCCACAUAGGGAUGGCCAUAGCAGCCACAAAAGGAAGCAAACAAGAACAAGUCCUGAUGGAGCAAUUUAUGAAGACAGGCAGCAUAGAGGGAGAAGAACCUGUCUGUCAACCCCACACACGCUUUCCCAGACGUCUCCUGAAAGCUGAGCAUUUGUUAUCUUAAAGCCUCUUACCAGUUUGGAUAGAUAUGGAUCUUCCAAAAUUAAUGAGCUCCUUAAUAUCGACACUGUUUAUCAACAUAAAGGAUCAAUUUAGGAAGAUUAUAAAAACUGAAGUUUCCGGAACAAUAAAUGGGAGAAUUAAUCUUCUGAAUCAAGGACGUAUCCCUGAAUCUGGGGAGCUCUCUAUCAAAAUAUACAUGCUGGAACCCUACCAAAGGAAUAAUAAAUCUGGAAUGAGGCUCUGACUGUCUAAUUAGGAAAAGACUCCUUCCUGGAAUUCUGCACAUCUCCCUACACCUUAGUGACGGUUAAAUAAAUAAUUAUUAAGCUUCUGGA
RNAcentral lists this long non-coding RNA (567 nucleotides) under Homo sapiens (human). RNAcentral describes it as "HSALNT0392875". The record is from RNAcentral. Lineage: Eukaryota; Metazoa; Chordata; Mammalia; Primates; Hominidae.